This 239-nucleotide unclassified non-coding RNA is filed under the name uncultured fungus. Its description in RNAcentral is "sequence contains ITS2". The stretch from base 1 to 52 matches the Rfam family "5.8S ribosomal RNA", at positions 103 to 154 of the family's 154-position model. The record is from RNAcentral. Lineage: Eukaryota; Fungi.
AACGCACAUUGCGCCCCUUGGUAUUCCGAGGGGCAUGCCUGUUCGAGCGUCAUUAUAACCACUCAAGCCUAGCUUGGUAUUGGGGUUCGCGGUCCCGCGGCUCUUAAAAUCAGUGGCGGCGCCAUCUGGCUCUAAGCGUAGUAAUCUUUCUCGCUACAGAGUCCCGGUGGAUGCUUGCCAGCAACCCCCUAUUUUCUUAGGUUGACCUCGGAUCAGGUAGGGAUACCCGCUGAACUUAA